GAUGAACGCUGGCGGCGUGCUUAACACAUGCAAGUUGAACGGGAAUUAUUUUAUUGAAACUUCGGUCGAUUUAAUUUAAUUCUAGUGGCGGACGGGUGAGUAACGCGCGGGUAACCUGCCUUAUACAGGGGGAUAACAGUCAGAAAUGACUGCUAAUACCGCAUAAGCGCACAGGACCGCAUGGUCCGGUGUGAAAAACUCCGGGGGUAUAAGAUGGACCCGCGUUGGAUUAGCUGGUUGGUGGGGUAACGGCCCACCAAGGCGACGAUCCAUAGCCGGCCUGAGAGGGUGAACGGCCACAUUGGGACUGAGACACGGCCCAGACUCCUACGGGAGGCAGCAGUGGGGAAUAUUGCACAAUGGGGGAAACCCUGAUGCAGCGACGCCGCGUGAAGGAAGAAGUAUCUCGGUAUGUAAACUUCUAUCAGCAGGGAAGAUAGUGACGGUACCUGACUAAGAAGCCCCGGCUAACUACGUGCCAGCCGCCGCAGUAA
This 494-nucleotide ribosomal RNA is filed under the name uncultured bacterium. Its description in RNAcentral is "partial 16S ribosomal RNA". It matches the Rfam family "Bacterial small subunit ribosomal RNA", at positions 28 to 523 of the family's 1533-position model. The record is from RNAcentral.